Molecule: ribosomal RNA, 450 nt
Filed under: uncultured bacterium
Lineage: Bacteria
Description: partial 16S ribosomal RNA
Rfam family: Bacterial small subunit ribosomal RNA
Source: RNAcentral
GUGGGGAAUUUUGGACAAUGGGCGAAAGCCUGAUCCAGCAAUGCCGCGUGCAGGAUGAAGGCCCUCGGGUUGUAAACUGCUUUUGUACGGAACGAAAAGCCUGGGGCUAAUAUCCCCGGGUCAUGACGGUACCGUAAGAAUAAGCACCGGCUAACUACGUGCCAGCAGCCGCGGUAAUACGUAGGGUGCAAGCGUUAAUCGGAAUUACUGGGCGUAAAGCGUGCGCAGGCGGUUUUGUAAGACAGUGGUGAAAUCCCCGGGCUCAACCUGGGAACUGACAUGGUGACUGCAAGGCUAGAGUGCGGCAGAGGGGGAUGGAAUUCCGCGUGUAGCAGUGAAAUGCGUAGAUAUGCGGAGGAACACCGAUGGCGAAGGCAAUCCCCUGGGCCUGCACUGACGCUCAUGCACGAAAGCGUGGGGAGCAAACAGGAUUAGAAACCCGGGUAGUCC